This 73-nucleotide transfer RNA is filed under the name Candidatus Pacearchaeota archaeon ex4484_71. RNAcentral's name for it is "tRNA-Met". It matches the Rfam family "tRNA". Rfam says of the family: Transfer RNA (tRNA) molecules are approximately 80 nucleotides in length. Their secondary structure includes four short double-helical elements and three loops (D, anti-codon, and T loops). Lineage: Archaea; Nanobdellati. RNAcentral also lists the same sequence under 1 other name. The record is from RNAcentral.
UCCCUCGUAGCUCAGUGGCUAGAGCGUUUGGUUCAUACCCAAAAGGUCACAGGUUCGAAUCCUGUCGGGGGAG